GUGCUCGCUUCGGCAGCACAUAUACUAAAAUUGAAACGAUGCAGAGAAGAUUAGCAUGCUCCGAGGACUACACGCAAAUUCGUGAUGCGUUCUGUAUUUUU
RNAcentral lists this small nuclear RNA (101 nucleotides) under Octodon degus (degu). Lineage: Eukaryota; Metazoa; Chordata; Mammalia; Rodentia; Octodontidae. The record is from RNAcentral.